RNAcentral lists this ribosomal RNA (379 nucleotides) under uncultured eukaryote. Its description in RNAcentral is "SSU rRNA". It matches the Rfam family "Eukaryotic small subunit ribosomal RNA", at positions 587 to 972 of the family's 1831-position model. The record is from RNAcentral.
AGCUCCAAUAGCGUAUAUUAAAGUUGCUGCGGUUAAAAAGCUCGUAGUCGGAUCUCAGUCUCGGUCGGAUGGUCCAUUUCACGAUGGUACUGUUCGAAUCGGACAUUUCGCUGCGUUUCUCAGUAUGCUCUUGACUGAGUGUGCUGGGAGAGUGGCACGUUUACUUUGAAAAAAUUAGAGUGCUCAAAGCAGGCAAUCGCCUGAAUCUUCGUGCAUGGAAUGAUGGAAUAGGGCCUCGAUCCUGUUUUGUUGGUUCAAGGGAUUUGAGGUAAUGAUUAAGAGGGACGGCCGGGGGCAUUCGUAUUGCGACGUUAGAGGUGAAAUUCUUAGAUCGUCGCAAGACGGACUACUGCGAAAGCAUUUGCCAAGAAUGUUUUCA